Molecule: ribosomal RNA, 465 nt
Filed under: uncultured bacterium
Lineage: Bacteria
Description: partial 16S ribosomal RNA
Rfam family: Bacterial small subunit ribosomal RNA
Source: RNAcentral
GACGAACGCUGGCGGCGUGCUUAACACAUGCAAGUCGAACGGAAAGGCCCCUUUGGGGGUACUCGAGUGGCGAACGGGUGAGUAACACGUGAGUAACCUGCCCUUGACUUCGGGAUAACUUCAGGAAACUGGGGCUAAUACCGGAUAGGAAUCCUUGCUGCAUGGUGGGGGUUGGAAAGCUUCGGCGGUUUUGGAUGGACUCGCGGCUUAUCAGCUUGUUGGUGGGGUAGUGGCUUACCAAGGCUUUGACGGGUAGCCGGCCUGAGAGGGCGACCGGCCACAUUGGGACUGAGAGACGGCCCAGACGCCGACGGGAGGCAGAAGGGGGGAAUAUUGCACAAUGGGCGGAGGCCGGAUGCAGCAGCGCCGCGUGCGGGAUGACGGCCUUCGGGUUGUAAACCGCUUUCAGCAGGGGCGAAGCUUGUGGUGACGGUACCUGAAGAAGAAGCACCGGCUAACUACGUG